Molecule: ribosomal RNA, 464 nt
Filed under: uncultured bacterium
Lineage: Bacteria
Description: bacterial SSU rRNA
Rfam family: Bacterial small subunit ribosomal RNA
Source: RNAcentral
UCCAGACUCCUACGGGAGGCAGCAGUGAGGAAUAUUGGUCAAUGGGCGAGAGCCUGAACCAGCCAAGUCGCGUGAGGGAAGACGGUCCUAUGGAUUGUAAACCUCUUUUGCCGGGGAGCAAAAAGCGGUACGUGUACCGUAUCGAGAGUACCCGGAGAAAAAGCAUCGGCUAACUCCGUGCCAGCAGCCGCGGUAAUACGGAGGAUGCGAGCGUUAUCCGGAUUUAUUGGGUUUAAAGGGUGCGCAGGCGGAGGUGCAAGUCAGUGGUCAAAUUGCGGGGCUCAACCCCGUACUGCCGUUGAAACUGGCAGUCUCGAGUUGGAGAGAAGUAUGCGGAAUGCGCGGUGUAGCGGUGAAAUGCAUAGAUAUCGCGCAGAACUCCGAUUGCGAAGGCAGCAUGCCGGCUCCACACUGACGCUGAGGCACGAAAGCGUGGGUAUCGAACAGGAUUAGAUACCCCAGUA